UUUAUUUGAAGCCUAAAAUUCUUCUUAUAAUCUAAAAAUAUUUAAAAAAAGAUGUUUAAAGAUAUCCUUCUUGACAAGCUUAAUGUUUUUAGAAAUCCUAUAUCCAAGCAACCUUAAAUCCUGAAAACUUUAGUUUUUAAACACUUUUAUUUCUACAUGUGAAUUCCUACCAAUUCUAAAUAAUUUUAAAAAGAUUCUUUGUAAGCUCUAAUAGUAUCUUAAGUAAAUCCUAACAAACUCUAACAAGCCUUACAAAAUCCAAAAAUAAACUGAAAAUAAAUCUCAACAAUAAUCAAAAUAAAAUUCUAAAAGGACUUAUAGAAACUUUUAAUAAAAGUUAAUAAAUUCUAAAUAUGUUUCAAAAAAAUAUAUUAAAAUCCUAUACAAAUCUUUAC
Molecule: long non-coding RNA, 395 nt
Filed under: Physcomitrium patens
Lineage: Eukaryota; Viridiplantae; Streptophyta; Bryopsida; Funariales; Funariaceae
Description: long non-coding RNA (PPAT_LNC010831)
Source: RNAcentral